GAUGAAGAACGCAGCGAAAUGCGAUAAGUAAUGUGAAUUGCAGAAUUCAGUGAAUCAUCGAAUCUUUGAACGCACAUUGCGCCCCCUGGUAUUCCGGGGGUCAUGCCUGUUCGAGCGUCAUUUCACCACUCAAGCCUCGCUUGGUAUUGGGCAACGCGGUCCGCCGCGUGCCUCAAAUCGACCGGCUGGGUCUUCUGUCCCCUAAGCGUUGUGGAAACUAUUCGCUAAAGGGUGCUCGGGAGGCUACGCCGUAAAACAAACCCAUUUCUAAGGUUGACCUCGGAUCAGGUAGGGAUACCCGCUGAACUUAAGCAUAUCAAUAAGCGGAGGA
RNAcentral lists this unclassified non-coding RNA (331 nucleotides) under soil metagenome. RNAcentral's name for it is "partial contains 5.8S ribosomal RNA, internal transcribed spacer 2, and large subunit ribosomal RNA". The stretch from base 1 to 120 matches the Rfam family "5.8S ribosomal RNA", at positions 35 to 154 of the family's 154-position model. The record is from RNAcentral.